GCUCCUUUGAAGUUAGCGGCGGACGGGUGAGUAACACGUGGGUAACCUACCUAUAAGACUGGGAUAACUUCGGGAAACCGGAGCUAAUACCGGAUAACAUUUAGAACCGCAUGGUUCUAAAGUGAAAGAUGGUUUUGCUAUCACUUAUAGAUGGACCCGCGCCGUAUUAGCUAGUUGGUAAGGUAACGGCUUACCAAGGCGACGAUACGUAGCCGACCUGAGAGGGUGAUCGGCCACACUGGAACUGAGACACGGUCCAGACUCCUACGGGAGGCAGCAGUAGGGAAUCUUCCGCAAUGGGCGAAAGCCUGACGGAGCAACGCCGCGUGAGUGAUGAAGGGUUUCGGCUCGUAAAACUCUGUUAUUAGGGAAGAACAAAUGUGUAAGUAACUGUGCACAUCUUGACGGUACCUAAUCAGAAAGCCACGGCUAACUACGUGCCAGCAGCCGCGGUAAUACGUAGGUGGCAAGCGUUAUCCGGAAUUAUUGGGCGUAAAGCGCGCGUAGGCGGUUUCUUAAGUCUGAUGUGAAAGCCCACGGCUCAACCGUGGAGGGUCAUUGGAAACUGGGAAACUUGAGUGCAGAAGAGGAAAGUGGAA
Molecule: ribosomal RNA, 599 nt
Filed under: Staphylococcus xylosus
Lineage: Bacteria; Bacillati; Bacillota; Bacilli; Caryophanales; Staphylococcaceae
Description: bacterial SSU rRNA
Rfam family: Bacterial small subunit ribosomal RNA
Source: RNAcentral